Molecule: long non-coding RNA, 1833 nt
Organism: Prionailurus viverrinus (fishing cat)
Lineage: Eukaryota; Metazoa; Chordata; Mammalia; Carnivora; Felidae
Exons: 4
Source: RefSeq, a predicted model, not a curated record
CGCUCGCUCUCUCCCUCUCAAAAUAAAUAAACAGGAAAACAAGAAAAGAGAAUGGCUCGCAGGAGCUUGAAAUCUGGUGAGAAGAGGAGUCAUGCAAACAGGUUUCUAGACACAAAAAGACACGCGCAGUGGGAGAGGUACAGGCAGGGUGGUUACAGGCACAGUGGCCGGGCCUUGGUCAGCAAAGGCCCUUCUAGUUGGAGGUCUGCCGGGCACGUGGUCACGGCCACCACAGGCACGGCCUCUUCGGCUGGAAGGCACACCCGCGGUGAGUUUACUCAGCAAACAGUUAUUUUUACGCCCCAGCUUGCACGCAGCCGUGAAGCCUUUGUCUUGCCAUUCCGUCCAUCCUCUCCCACCCCGUUAGCCUCUCCUGUAGCGCUUACACUGUUUCUGAUUAUGUUUCUGUGUUUGCUUGUCCAGCCUUUCUUUCCUACCACGCUGUGUCUCAGUGGCAGUGACCUUAUGUGACCUGUUCCCCGCUCUACCUCCAGUGGUUAGCUUAACGCCCGGGGCUCGGUAAACGUCCAAUAAAUAUGUGACCAGUGACUGAGUCAAGGGCAAGAAUAGAUGGCUCUAGAGCAGCGUGUCCCAAAGUUUUAAAAAGGGUAAUAUUCAAUCUGCACAAUGGAAUGAGCUGAAGGAAGCAAACUGCCCAGAACCUUCCUGUUUGCUCUAGGGAUUUAAUGGAUAAAUAUCUCAGUCUACCUUUCUUUCAGAUCUUAGACCAGGAAGCUCUGUUUUCGGGAACCAGCGCUGAGAUCACAGGAUCACUUGCUAACAUGUGUGCACCAUGAUGCCCACAAUAGGAAGACCGACGUGUAAAGACAUUCAUAGUGGGCCCGUGGGCUUGUUUGUCUACUUUUAGGGUUGCUAGAGGCCUUAGAUGAUCAGAUUCUGAUAGGAUUAGCCUGGGGCAGUGUGGUGAACUGAGGGGGUGCUACCCAGACCCCCUUUCAAAGGACUUGCUGCCGGCUGUGGAGACUGUGGUCUACAGACAGCCUCCGGCCGCCCCGUCUCUCAGGAACUGCCUCGGCUGCAGAGCUGCCUUCCAGAAGUCAUCCAAGAAAGUCAGGCCGACUCAGGCAGGUCAGCUUUGACAGGCAGGCUUGCCCAGCCCGGUCCACAAGACCAUUCCCUCCGCCAGUCCUUCCCCGCCCUUUCUCAGGCGUCGGCUUAUAUUUCUACUGGUCGCACCUCAACGGUCCGCAUCUGGGAACCCGUUUCCAGACAACCCGCCCUCUGACAGACAGCUUCACAAAAUGCUACCUCAGAUGCCUUUUGGAGGAGGUGGGAUGUAAAUCGCACACACCAGGGUGGAGGAGAUCGCCUUUGGGGCAAAGGGCUUUGUGAAAAGGCCCAGGCUGCUGCAUCCUCACAUUCUCCCUUUAAUUCUCCUGGAAACUUGUAAGAAGAGCCGUCAGGUGGAAAUGAACAGUAAUUGGCAACUCGAGACCCGGCGUCUGAGACUAAGAAAAUGAGAUAAGGAAUGUCUAAAGGAACAUUUCUACAAUGACAGCAUUAAACAAAACAUGGGAAUGCCAUGAUCCAGCCUGCACCCACCGAUGCGUUUUCUUGGACAACACCGAGUCCAGGAAGGAAGCACAGCACAGAGGCAGUAGGAACAGGUGUGGAAUUAUUCAACAUCUCUGGCAAACAGCAGUGGGGAUUAAGCAGAGAUUUCUUUAAUGAGAUUAAUUCUGAAAGACGAAGAGCAGCUUGGCAUGUUCCCAAAGAUACAAGGCAUUUGUAUCUAUCUAAGAUUAAAGGAGCUUUCACACAAAGCGAUUUUACUUUUUCAACAUCAAAGAGGAUUCUUGGAGGGGCUGCUUG